CCAGAUGACCGGAUGGCCGCUCUUCUUCUUCGGAAGGAGGGAGGAAAGUCCGGGCUCCAUGGAAGAACGGCGCCGGUUAACGGCCGGCGGGCGCGAGCCUAGGGAAAGUGCCACAGAAAACAAACCGCCGGCCACACGGGUUCGCCCCGUUCGUCGGUAAGGGUGAAACGGUGCGGUAAGAGCGCACCGCGCGGCCGGCAACGGACGCGGCACGGUAAACCCCGCCGGGAGCAAGACUGCAUAGGAGGAUGGGUCCGGAGCAAUCCGGGCCGGGCGGCUUCCGCGCCAGAUCCUCGGGUAGGUCGCGUGAGGCGGUCGGCAACGAUCGUCCCAGAGGAAUGGCCAUCCAGGGGCCGCAAGGCCCCGGACAGAACCCGGCUUACAGGUCAUCUGGCAUU
Molecule: RNase P RNA, 398 nt
Filed under: Dongia sedimenti
Lineage: Bacteria; Pseudomonadati; Pseudomonadota; Alphaproteobacteria; Rhodospirillales; Dongiaceae
Description: Rhodospirillaceae bacterium R-7 RNase P RNA component class A
Rfam family: Bacterial RNase P class A
About the family: Ribonuclease P (RNase P) is a ubiquitous endoribonuclease, found in archaea, bacteria and eukarya as well as chloroplasts and mitochondria. Its best characterised activity is the generation of mature 5'-ends of tRNAs by cleaving the 5'-leader elements of precursor-tRNAs. Cellular RNase Ps are ribonucleoproteins.
Source: RNAcentral